Molecule: ribosomal RNA, 245 nt
Filed under: uncultured archaeon
Lineage: Archaea
Description: partial 16S ribosomal RNA
Rfam family: Archaeal small subunit ribosomal RNA
Source: RNAcentral
UCCCGGCGGUUCCAGUCGCAGCCACUUUUAUUGGGUCUAAAACAUCCGUAGCUUGCUUUGUAAGUCUCUUGUGAAAUCGGGCAUCUUAAGUGUCCGGCGGGCAAGAGAUACUGCUUAGCUAGAGACUGGGAGACGCAAGAAGUACGAAUGGGGUAGUGGUUAAAUACGUUGAUCCUGUUUGGACUAACAACAGCGAAGGCAUCUUGCGAGAACGGAUCUGACAGUGAGGGAUGAAGGCUAGGGGC